AGAGUCGUUACAAGAACUUCAUUCGCGUUAAUAAUGGUGUUUUCAAAUAACAUUUCUGAAUAGCUGGUUGUAGUUUUUGCCCAUUUCCAAGAAGAUAUGUUUUAUACAUUUAAAAUUUUAAAAUCAUUGUAAAUGCUUUAAAAAAACCCAAAAAAAAACUUUAUAACAAAGUAUUGUGGUCCAGAGAUAGAAAAUGGCAUAUAAAGGUGGACAUUAAUUCCUCAGUUGCCACUGGGUGGAGCUCCUCACACACACACACACACACACACACAAACCGAUUGUUCACCCAGGUGUCCCUCACUAGGUCACAUGACCAAACAUGUGUCUAUAAAUUAAACCUUUUACGGUCAAUUAGGGGGAGUUUACAAGAUAGACAUGCCUUGGUGCACGGUUGCUUUUUAAUGCAACAAAAUGAAAGUGGCUGAAUUAUUUAUCCGCGUGAAGGAAUUGCUGGUUGAGAAUAGCAUUCCUUGUUCCAUGAAAGUUUCAGUGAGUGAAGAUAACUGUGUGGAUUAUAAUGAUUUUGAUUCAAUGGAGAGGACUUUUGUUUGUUUUCUACCUUGGAACAGUUCUGUUUGUCUACAGGACAUCGUUGGCCUGUUGUCCUCCAGAAUUGAAGAAUGGCAGCAAGGCCAGAUGACUCAUGUGAACAGCAACCACUGUCAGCCUCACCUUCUCCAUUUGGCAGGCUGUUAUCUUCUCGUACCCUCAAUGCUCCCUCUAGUAACUGCUACAUUGACAAUAAUGCUGUGAUUCUGUGAUGUAAUAAUACUGAUAAAUGAAAUUAACACAUUCA
This is a long non-coding RNA of Acipenser ruthenus (sterlet), 796 nucleotides long. RefSeq lists it as uncharacterized. The transcript is spliced from 2 exons. The record is from RefSeq and is a predicted model, not a curated record. Lineage: Eukaryota; Metazoa; Chordata; Actinopteri; Acipenseriformes; Acipenseridae.